AUGCCACAUCAUCUCAACAGUAAUAAGGUAUGAAUGCAUCAACAUAAUCAUAUCAGGUGCAAGAAAGUAAUCAACCGUAGGCCCUCUAAUAGCCCUGUACGGUUGAACCUAGAGCUCAAAAUCUAUCACUCUCACUCUCUGCCGGAGUCACUCCGCGUGACCUGUACGGCCUUCUGCACAUAAGUUACGCUCUAGUGCUUUUCAUAAUCAUCUGUGCACAUAAUCUAAGGUCACCCACCAGUCGGAAUCUCACUAACACUCUCGCGACUGGCCUGUCGUACCCACUCCGCGUGGACUGUACGACUAGCAUCUACUUGGAUCCAAGACGAGCGUGCGAUGCGGUGAAUACUAUAAGCACUAAACUAUGGUGCAUGAUUUGAGCUCAAUAUACAUCAACAUCAUCAUAACAGAAAUAAAUACUCACAUGUGCGUCCACCGCACCAUUUCAUACAUAUGCAUCAUAAAUCAAUUCUUACCUGUGCGUCCACCGCACCAAUUCAUACAUAUGCAUCAUAAAUCAAUUCUUACCUGUGCGUCCACCGCACCAAUUCAUACAUAUGCAUCAUAUAUUAAUUCAUGCAUGGCAUUUCAAUUCACAUUUCUAUAUACUUUUCAUAUCAAUUCUAUGCAUGGUAUUUCACUUCCCGUUUUUCCACAUAACUCAUAUGCAUUUCAUUUUAAACAUAUUUUCAUUUCAAUUCAAUUUCUGGGAAACGUCAAGUAUAUAUAUAUACGGAAAACAAAACUGCCCACUCACCUGGAGUUCGUCCAACAACUCCCUAGCACCACACAUCAAGGCGUCACGACGAUCGCCGCCUAGAAUAGUAAUCAAAUCCAACCUCAGAAUUCAUAUCGAUAGAAUAUAUAACUUAUAUAAAAUACGUCACUACGUAGUUCGAUCCGAAAGAUCUGCCACUCAGAUUUUAAAUCCAUAACUUCCAGAGGUCCACAAUAUAUCUCUAGGAUAACCUCCUAAAAUUUCAUUACCAUCCAACGGUCGGAUCUCCGUAAAUUUCCAAAACAAUUCCAAUUCCGGAAGAUCCGUAACUCGGAUUCCCAAUCCGUAAGUUCCAAUAAUCCUCAAAUAUUACGUAUUACAACGUAUCAAAGUUUGGUAACGAUCCAACGGUCGGAUCGUCAAUUCACAUUUUUACCUAAAUGUGAAAACUAUAAAACGUUAUUCGAACACCUAACCAACAAUCCUUAAUAACUUUCUCAUACGGUGCUCAAUUUGGGUAUAUGAAUAUACCACGGUGAUCUACUCGACGUCACGGACGUCGACAUAUUUUUAAAAUAAUUUUAUUUUUAUUUUUUUACUGUAGCACCUUCUUCUUCCUUGGGUCGCCGGACUGGUUUUUCCGGCGGCCGUUUUCCGGGCAGUUUUUCAAAUUUCCAUAACUUUGUCAUUUCUCAACGAAAUCAAGUGAUUCAAAAACGAGAGUUGUAGCCCUUGAAGAGACAAAGAGAAUGGUACCUUUCACAACACCUAGUUCGCCGUGGUUUGGCCGGAAACUGCCUCGAAAGCCUCGGAGGUCGCCGGAAACUGGGUAUUUUUCAAAUGAGUAUAACUUCUUCAAUACUCAACGAAAUUGAGUGAAACAAAAAGGAAAGUUGUAGUACUUGACGAGACGAAGAUAUUUAUACCUACCUCGACUCCUAACUCGCAGGGGAUUCGCCGGAAAAAGCCUCGAAAGCUCCGGCCAAACUUUGAACUUGUCGAUCUCCGUGUUCUUACGUCCAAAAACUUCCAACGAAGCACUCCGAGCUUCCUUGGGACUUCCUAAAGCUCACUAUGAGCUUGGUUUGGCCUAAAACACGACCAAUUCAAAGCUCAUGAACAGUACACAUUCACGGCAACUUUAGAAACUAGGGUUUUCGAAGUGAAACUUACUUGAAAUGGGUAUCAUCGUGAUCGUAUGGUCUUCAGGAGUACGAUGGCACUCUUAAAUCCGUCGUUGGUGGAAGUUUAGGGUGUUUUUGUGGUGGUCUUGGUGGUUGCCGUGUGUUCGAGAGGGUGAGAGAGAGAGAGAGAUCUGAAAUGGAAGAAGAAGAGAGAGAAGGGAAAGGUUACGGGUUUUAGGGAGUGUUUUGAGGUAUGAGGAUCCCACCUUAACCCAAACACAACAUUACAACCUAGUUUUUAGUCCCUAACACAAAUUAACCAUAGUUCAGGAACUUUAAAAAAAACAAAUGUCAUCUCUUUACACACCUUAAUCUCGUUUAAGGUCAUUUUUGAAAUUUCACGUCCUCGGAAUGAAAAAUCCCGGGACGAGCUGUGACAAUCUUCCCUCCUUAUAGAAUUUCGUCCCCGAAAUUCCAGCAACCAGCUAAAUUAACCAUACUCAUACAAUAGCCUCGGGUAAAUCUCUCUCAUCCGAUUCUCUUUCUCCCACGUAAUUUCUUCCACCGAAUAAUUUUCUUCACAAAAAACUUUUACCACUUACCCUGUUUUAAUUCUGAGGGCAUCACAAGCUUGUAAGCAACUUCACCAACUUUUCGAUAAUCACUUAAGUCCGAUUCACUUAGGAUUUAACUUACCUUCUUUCUCUACCUUGGUUAAUUCUUAAAUUUCUUCGUCAAGCAUUUAAGUUUCGAGUACGACCUUACCAAACAGGCCUAACUUGAAAUUUUAACAAGUAUAACUUCUUCUCGAUCUUCCCAUUCUUAAUUUUUCUUCCGUUGGUUUUCAAUUCACAAGAUGAUACUCUUGGCAAACGUGCCAGACAUUAAUCAUACUGUAGUCUUCUCACCAAGUGCUUCAGCUACAACAAUUCACGAUCACCCUGAUCGUACCAUCAUGUUCAUUAAGCAAUACAAUUCACCUUUGUUGCCUCAUAUCAAAAUCCUUCCGAAUAAACAAAUAUUGGAGACUCUUUUGAUUUGUAAAAUCUUGCAUUCUUUUCAACAUAUAAUGUCUCCACAACUUCACAGCAAGGAUGAUAAUCGUGACUUCCAAGUCACCAGUAGGGUAAUUCAUCUCAUUAGGUUCCAUUUGUCGUGAAACAUAUUCAAUCACCCUAACAUUUGCAUCAAUACAUCUCCAAGAAUAUUUAAUGUACCAUCACCAUAAACCAAUAAUUACCGCUAUCUUCUGGGAUUACUAAAAUACGUGCAUGAGUGAGGAAAUACUCCAGUUGUUGAAUCCUUUGCUCACAAUUUCCUUCCCACUCAUACAUAACCUCCUUUCUCAACAGUCUUGUCAAUGACAAAGCAAUGACUAAAAAUUCUUUCACAACCAUCCAAAAUAGCCUGAUAAGUUAAGAAUUUCCGAAUCUCAAUUAUGACUUGUGGUUGUUCCAAUUUCUCAAUUCUGCUGCCUUUUAAGAAUUCAUUUGAAUACCUUAAGCAGAUAUAACCAACCUCAGAAUGCCACCUGAUUCAUCUAACUUUCGCAUUUGCUAAACUUAGCAUAUAAUCGACAUUCUUCCAAUCUUUGUUCCACCGACUUAAUACAUUUACAUGCUCUGCUCUGGCUCAUAAUAUGCCAGAAUAUCUUCAACGAAAAUGAUAUCAAUUAUCAAAGCAUUAUUGGAAUACUUCAUCCAUCAACUCAUAAAACAGAAUGAGUAUCCAUAUAGCAUCACCAAACUUCAUAAAGACUAUAACAAGUCCAGAAAACUAUCUUAUGAUCAAUGUCGCUCAAAAUCUUCAAUUGGUAAUAACCAGACCUCAAUCAAUCUUUUGAAAAUACACAAAUACCUUUGAGCUGGUCAAACAAACAUCAACGCACCAUGGAUAACGGUUCUCGAUCGUUACCAAUUCCAUUGUCUAUAAUCAAUGCACAAUCUCUAAGUCCAUUUUCUUUUUCACCAACAAACUGGGGCUCCUCAAAAGUGUUGUACUAGGUUGAAUAAAACUUUUAUCAACCAAUUCUCUCAACUGAAUUUCCAAUUCCCUUAACUCAUCCUGAACCAAUCUCCAAUAUAAAUUUAUACCUGGUAACAAAUCAAUAAUGAACCUCAUAUCUCUGCCUGAAGACAAUCCAGGUAUACUUCAGGGAAGACAUCAAGAAAAGUCUAACCCCUUUUUCAUUUUUCACACUUCUCCGAGCAACAUCCUUUAGUACCACAUGAACUAAGUAUUUUUUUUUGGGCAGCCUUUCAAAACAAUCUCUUUGCUUUCACAGCAUAAAUAACGGCCUGACUCAAUCCACUUUGCAUACUUACAAAAGAAAUCCCUGGUCAUCCAGAUCGAUGGAAAAUACUGGUUUCCCGUAACAUUCCGUCUUGUCACAAUUAUAACCAACCAAUCUAAUGGAACAAAAUUAACUGAUACAAUAUAUAUUCUAUUAUUAUUAAGCAUUCUAAAUAAGUACAAUACUAACAUAAAAUAAUCUACCGGGUUGCUUGCUUAACGAAUCCACGAAUGAGUUAUUAAUAUUACGGUCUGCAGCCCGCAAAUACUGAUAAAUCAUCGUUGUCUCGAUAAGUAGGCAACCACUCUCAAAGAUAUAACAUUACUAUUUUGUCACUCAAUGCAAAAUACAUACACUCGUCUCAACUACAUUUAUUUACUACUCUCUAGGUAAUAACAUACAUAAUAAGAAAUAUAUCAGCCGAAGUCAACUAGAAUGACCAAUACGGCUGAUUCAACUCUUAUCUCAAUAAUACGUCGGUCGGAUCCACUCCGCGUGGUCGGUACGGCCGAGCCUAUAACUCACCAAUUUCUCAUGCGUCAGCCAGAUCCACCUCUCGUGGCCUGUAUGGCUGAACAUAUAACUCAUCAAAUCUCUCUGUACCCACGGUCAAUCCGACCAAACUACUAAAUCCAUAAACCUGCUGAAUCGAUACUACGAUGUCAUAGAAAACUGUUGGGUACAACUGAUUUUAGGGACGAUUCACAAUUCUGUGUCCCCUCUGUUCACAUAAACACAUUCAUUAAUUUCACACUUCCCAAAGUGUUAAUUUUGUACCUGCUGCACAAGGUACAUUUCCUGUACUCGAGACACCUUGUCUCAAAAAUCUGGGAUUACCAGUAUAUCCAUCACUUCGCCUCUGACUAGUGGCGUUAAAACCUCAGCUGGAAGAAUUAACUCUAGCUUCACUUCUUUCGAAGCUCUGAAUCUUUCUAUAUCCUUGAUAUGACGAAUCAUUAACUUUAUCGUCUUCUUUUGAUUCCCAUUCAUUUCUUAUUCUUCUUUAUUCUCGUUGCUCAUGUUCUCAGAGUCCUCAAGACUCAACAGCAUCUCGUAUAUUCCUGGUAAGAAGUACAAUGGAUAGUGGUCACCCAAAAUACCACUUCCCUUUUUGUCACCCAGCCUAAAACAACAUAACACCUCCACCAAAUUAACAACAAUAUCUGGAUGGAACGAGGCAAGUCUGAAAACUUUCUAUAAUAUCCCUCGAUCAUCACCUUCCUUGUCUCAUAUUUGUAAACUCUUGUUUACUACCAUCGAUAAAUGCCGGGGGAUAAACUUUUCCUUAAACAAGUCCUUAAAUAAUUCUCAAUCAACUGUUUCCUCCGGUGACAACAAUUAACAAUCCUGUUUCCACCAGGAUACAAAUUCAUACCCAAAACCAGGUAGUCGUCUCGACCCCUUGUCAGAAGGAAAUUUCCUUUAACUUGCAUAAUCUGAAACAUCUUUUCCAAACAGUUAAACCGUCACUUCGUUCCCUCAGGUUCAUUAUUUCAUAAGGUGAUUCAAAUUCGACUCAUAAUCCGUCUUAAAAUGUCCCUUUUUAUAAUAGACUGAAUCACCAUAAUAAUAGUUUCCCCUAAACCGCUAUAUUAGGGAGACUAAAUUCCUCUAACUAAGUGGCUUGCUACGAGGCGGUGUAGUUCUGACAGAAUUCACUAUAAACUUCUCAAGAUGUCCAAGAUUGCAACCAUGCUCUGAUACCAACUGACACACCCCGUCCCGAAGGAGGGCAUGCUGGCCGUCACGUGAGAGUGACGUAACCAUUUGCACAGUACGGAAGCUUUAAGAUACAAUUUAUAAGUUGAUACACCCGAAGGUGAGUCCUAAUUUUGUCCAAUCUGUCAGAACACCGUCGAAUUCCUCGUAGUCACCACACCUUUGUGAUUCCUGAACCUGGAGGGGCGCAAAACCAAAAUUGAGUGGGUCAGUAAAACAAUUCUUUUCAAAUCCAAUUUUUUCUCAAAGCAUUGUAACCCCUCUCCGUAAAACCUGUAUACUUUCCCAGAAAUGUAAAAUAUAAAUAUACAUAUAUAUUCUCAAAACUUCAAGUCGUUAACUCAACAUUUUCAUAACAAUUAUGUCAUGCCACAUCAUCUCAACAUUUCUCAUAUUAAUUAUGCCAUGCCACAUCAUCUCAACAGUAAUAAGGUAUGAAUGCAUCAACAUAAUCAUAUCAGGUGCAAGAAAGUAAUCAACCGUAGGCCCUCUAAUAGCCCUGUACGGUUGAACCUAGAGCUCAAAAUCUAUCACUCUCACUCUCUGCCGGAGUCACUCCGCGUGACCUGUACGGCCUUCUGCACAUAAGUUACGCUUUAGUGCUUUUCAUAAUCAUCUGUGCACAUAAUCUAAGGUCACCCACCAGUCGGAAUCUCACUAACACUCUCGCGACUGGCCUGUCGUACCCACUCCGCGUGGACUGUACGACUAGCAUCUACUUGGAUCCAAGACGAGCGUGCGAUGCGGUGAAUACUAUAAGCACUAAACUAUGGUGCAUGAUUUGAGCUCAAUAUACAUCAACAUCAUCAUAACAGAAAUAAAUACUCACAUGUGCGUCCACCGCACCAUUUCAUACAUAUGCAUCAUAAAUCAAUUCUUACCUGUGCGUCCACCGCACCAAUUCAUACAUAUGCAUUAUAAAUCAAUUCUUACCUGUGCGUCCACCGCACCAAUUCAUACAUAUGCAUCAUAUAUUAAUUCAUGCAUGGCAUUUCAAUUCACAUUUCUAUAUACUUUUCAUAUCAAUUCUAUGCAUGGUAUUUCACUUCCCGUUUUUCCACAUAACUCAUAUGCAUUUCAUUUUAAACAUAUUUUCAUUUCAAUUCAAUUUCUGGGAAACGUCAAGUAUAUAUAUAUACGGAAAACAAAACU
Molecule: long non-coding RNA, 7006 nt
Filed under: Malus domestica (apple)
Lineage: Eukaryota; Viridiplantae; Streptophyta; Magnoliopsida; Rosales; Rosaceae
Description: long non-coding RNA (MDOM_LNC018954)
Source: RNAcentral